Triticum aestivum (bread wheat) is the source of this 135-nucleotide non-coding RNA. The record is from Rfam. Lineage: Eukaryota; Viridiplantae; Streptophyta; Magnoliopsida; Poales; Poaceae.
CAACUACUCCCUCCGUCCCAAAAUUCUUGUCUUAAAUUUGUCUAGAUACGGAUGUAUCUAAUACUAAAAUGUGACUUGAUGCGUUCGUAUUUAGACAAAUCUAAGACAAGAAUUUUGGGACGGAGGGAUUACUGG